This 393-nucleotide ribosomal RNA is filed under the name uncultured bacterium. RNAcentral's name for it is "bacterial SSU rRNA". It matches the Rfam family "Bacterial small subunit ribosomal RNA", at positions 29 to 429 of the family's 1533-position model. The record is from RNAcentral.
AUUAAACGCUGGCGGCAUGCCUUACACAUGCAAGUCGAACGGCAGCACGGGGCAACCUGGUGGCGAGUGGCGAACGGGUGAGUAAAGCAUCGGAACGUGCCCUGGAGUGGGGGAUAACGUAGCGAAAGUUACGCUAAUACCGCAUAUUCUGUGAGCAGGAAAGCAGGGGAUCGCAAGACCUUGCGCUCUGGGAGCGGCCGAUGUCGGAUUAGCUAGUUGGUGGGGUAAAGGCCUACCAAGGCGACGAUCCGUAGCGGGUCUGAGAGGAUGAUCCGCCACACUGGGACUGAGACACGGCCCAGACUCCUACGGGAGGCAGCAGUGGGGAAUUUUGGACAAUGGGCGGAAGCCUGAUCCAGCCAUGCCGCGUGAGUGAAGAAGGCCUGGUGUAAG